RNAcentral lists this ribosomal RNA (359 nucleotides) under uncultured soil bacterium. RNAcentral's name for it is "bacterial SSU rRNA". It matches the Rfam family "Bacterial small subunit ribosomal RNA", at positions 26 to 382 of the family's 1533-position model. The record is from RNAcentral.
AGAUUGAACGCUGGCGGCAUGCCUUACACAUGCAAGUCGAACGGCAGCACGGGAGCAAUCCUGGUGGCGAGUGGGCGAACGGGUGACGUAAUACAUCGGAACGUGCCCAAUCGUGGGGGAUAACGCAGCGAAAGCCGUGCUAAUACCGCAUAAGAUCUACGGAUCGAAAGCAGGGGAUCGCAAGACCUUGCGCGAAUGGAGCGGCCGAUGGCAGAUUAGGUAGUUGGUGAGGUAAAGGCUCACCAGGCCUUCGAGUCUGUAGCUGGUCUGAGAGGACGACCAGCCACACGUGGGACUGAGACACGGCCAGACUCUACGGGAGGCAGCAGUGGGGAAUUUUGGGACAAGUGGGACGAAGC